This 305-nucleotide ribosomal RNA is filed under the name uncultured bacterium. RNAcentral describes it as "bacterial SSU rRNA". It matches the Rfam family "Bacterial small subunit ribosomal RNA", at positions 338 to 641 of the family's 1533-position model. The record is from RNAcentral.
CCUACGGGGGGCAGCAGUGAGGAAUAUUGGUCAAUGGCCGAGAGGCUGAACCAGCCAAGUCGCGUGAGGGAAGAAUGUCCUAUGGAUUGUAAACCUCUUUUGUCAGGGAGCAAAGUCACCCACGUGUGGGUGUUGGAGAGUACCUGAAGAAAAAGCAUCGGCUAACUCCGUGCCAGCAGCCGCGGUAAUACGGAGGAUGCGAGCGUUAUCCGGAUUUAUUGGGUUUAAAGGGUGCGUAGGCGGAUUUUUAAGUCAGCGGUAAAAUGUCCGGGCUCAACCCGGGCCGACCGUUGAAACUGGGGAUC